GGGCUGCAAAGUAUGACCUUUUAGAGGCUACAAACACGCAUGUCCUACUAUGCACUGCUGCUUGGGACUUACAGAAAUGGACCAAAAAAGAGGGGAUGAGGAAACUGCUCAUUCAUAUGUAGAAUCUCAGUCCAAUAAUUGUGGGCAUCCUCCUGUGUGGACAGUAUUAAGCAAUCAUAUAUAUCCUAUGCUGAAGAUUCACAGACUAAUUAUUUUACAGUAAUUGUUUCCUGAUUGCAAACAUAUAGAGGAAAAAAGAAAUGAUUUGCAUGUUUCCUGUUGUAACAGCAGAAUGAAGCAUCCACUGGGGAGUUCCUGUAUCCUGUCUGGAAAAGAAGCCUGUGGAAAGAUCUCUCCAACGUGCACAGUGCUGGAGCAGCGCAUUUGCCACAGAGUUCUAGGUGGUUUCAUGAGUCACUUGUGAAGUACUGUUCUGGGCAAGCAGAAACUCUGAGUUUUUUAAAUAGGAUUGCACUGGAGGACUUCAGUGGGUACUUACCCUGCCAAGGUAAUCACAGUGUGGGCCUACAAAAAGCACCUCCAGGGUUCUGAAAUAAAAGUACUGUCAGGAGUGGUCUCCCUUCUCUGCCUCGCUGCUGUUUGGCGACAGGGGCUACUGCUAGAAACCAGCCCCACGGCUGUCUGGGAGGUCGCACACAGCCCACGUGUGAGCAGUGUCACAGGGACGCCCCAGACACAGGCAAGAAGUCUUCCAAGGAGCCCUGACUCCCACUGCAUGGGGGGGCUUUGCUCUGUCACUAGUGAAGGAUGUGGAGGGGAAACCCCUGGAAGCAAUACAUCAAAUCAGAACACAUCAGAAACGUAUCUCAGAUUACAUCUGCAGUAAUGGGAAAUCCAUAUGGAAAAUCAAGCUAACUGAUAAAUAUUUGUUAGAUACUCAUUGAAAAUGACUGCACUUUUUUUGUCACAACAUAAAAAUGUGUGUUUCUUGGAUUUAUUUGAUGGGUAGGAAUUGCAGUGCUGAGUGAAGGUACAUAUUUGUCUAUUUGAUCAGAUUUGCCUUGGUAAGAUGCUGUGGUGAAAUGUUUGGCAUCUCUCCAAAGAGCUUUAACAAGUGGACAUGUUUUGUCCAGGCCUUGGAAUGUGUUUUGAAUUGUUGUUUGUUUUGGAAAUGUCAAUGUAUGAACGUCUCAAAAACAUUGAUUUUUAUCUAUUUGUUUACAUUUAUGCAACUUCAAAUGCCUUAAAUAUAAUAUAGCCUUAGUAUCGACUUUUCAAAUUAAGUAAGGAGAAUUGCAGAAAUAUUAAAUACAAUUUUCACAUUUUAUUAGCAUUAUUUGGAAGCGUUCUGUUUAACACACAAGUAGUUUCACACAAUUCCUUGGUAUGCCUGUUCUGUGAGAUCCAAUGCAUUCCAGGAGCAUCAUGCUGUGUGUAACGGUCAUUAACCUCUGAGGAAAAAACCCAAAUCUUUAGAUGUAUCCCACACAGUUCAAACAUAAUGCCUAAUUUAGGACAUAGCUAGAAGGGGAAAUUGCAAAUAGAAAUGUAUUGAUUUUUUGUUGUUGGCACUGUCUCCCUGCAGCCAUUGGGAGGGUGACCCUGGGACUUUAUACCAGAUACUUCAGAUGUAUUCCCCAUUGGUGUGUUUGUCUUCUAGAUGUGCUGAGCUCAUCUAGCAAAUCUUGAAUUCUGGUCACUCUGAUCAGUCAGAGUUUAGUAGGAGAGAAUACAGUACUGGGAUGAGCUGCAGAUGGAAGGUGUGAGUUUGCCACAGGCAAGAAUGAACUUUAUUCAUAAGCAAUUUUUUUUAGAUUAUUUUUGAGUUCUAAUAAAUGAUACUUUUUUCGUAGUUCACGCUCUUAUCUUUAGUGACUGGAUAAAGUAAAACAGUUAGGAAAUUUCAAAAAUACUGUGCUAAGUGGAUCCUGUUGCUGUAUGUAUCCCUAUUUGGACACCAAAAUGGUGGAUGUUCAGUUCUGCUGUGCAAAAUGACUAUGAAACUGCGUGGAUAUCUCUUGGGUAACUGUGAUUUGCAUGCACAGCUAAUCUUUCCUAAUUACCUUCCCUGAAAACUAAUGCUAAGAUCUUAGCAAUCUGAAAUCUUUUGCUCAUGUAUUUCUGACAAGUGAGAAAGGUGAUGUAGGUCGAACUAUGGCUUACAUUGCAUUUUUAUGGCUCUGAUUUUCUCCUGAACGCUUUUAGAGGAGUCGGUAACUGAGGCUGUAGCCAGUCCUGGUGAUGAUGCAGCAGAAGGGACGGAGUUUAGCUGCUGGCUCCUGGUUCUGUGAACUUUGCAGUGCUGGCAGGAACAAAAAGCAGUAAAAACUUGCCUGUCACUGAAGUCAGCAGCUAUCACAAUGAAUGCAAACAGGGGGCAAAUCUGCUGAGUAAGAAGAUGCCUUCUCUACAUCGUAACUUUAGAACUCUGAACAGACAAAAAAGAGCUUAGAAACCACAUUUCCAAACUGGCUGCCAGCGUGGUGUAAAAUCAGGGGUGAAGCUGAAAGCUUAAAUUAUAACAGCAGCUUUUGAUUUGAUGACAUCUCUGACAUCUCCCAAACAAAUCAUGUAUGGGAUGUUGAUACCCUGAUUCUCAAGCCAUAUGUUUGCAGUUUAGGUUCCAUUUUGGCAAGCUACACUUUGGACUUGGGGCAGAUGUAAACUCAUGGCUGCCUUCCGGUGAAGCGUGGCUCAUCCUCGGCAGCAGCAUGCUGCCCUGUGCAGCCAUCUGGAAAUGGUUUUAUCGGUGCUGCGAAAAGGGGGCUGUGAGGACCGCUGAUACAAUGGCACUCCAGUCGUGCUCUGCUCCCAUCCUUGCCUUCAGCGGUCGGACUGUGAGCACGGGAAGGCCAUUUCCGUGGGCUCACAGGGAUGCUCUGCAGCACCUGGACGUCGCUGCACCUGUGUCGGGCACCGCAGGCCUGGGCCAGAGCUGCACGCGUGCCCCAGGCCCCAUUUCCAACUACUCCACUCCUCACCAACCCUCUCUCGUUGCUAACAGUAGAGUAGCUCAGUAGUCUCGCCCCGCUCCCCCGACGGCGGGCCCGGCCGGCAGCUCCCUCCCCGGCCCCAG
Molecule: long non-coding RNA, 3037 nt
Organism: Cygnus olor (mute swan)
Lineage: Eukaryota; Metazoa; Chordata; Aves; Anseriformes; Anatidae
Exons: 4
Source: RefSeq, a predicted model, not a curated record